AACGCUAGCUACAGGCUUAACACAUGCAAGUCGAGGGGAAACGACAUCGAAAGCUUGCUUUUGAUGGGCGUCGACCGGCGCACGGGUGAGUAACGCGUAUCCAACCUGCCCACCACUUGGGGAUAACCUUGCGAAAGUAAGACUAAUACCCAAUGACGUCUCUAGAAGACAUCUGAAAGAGAUUAAAGAUUUAUCGGUGAUGGAUGGGGAUGCGUCUGAUUAGCUUGUUGGCGGGGUAACGGCCCACCAAGGCGACGAUCAGUAGGGGUUCUGAGAGGAAGGUCCCCCACAUUGGAACUGAGACACGGUCCAAACUCCUACGGGAGGCAGCAGUGAGGAAUAUUGGUCAAUGGACGAGAGUCUGAACCAGCCAAGUAGCGUGCAGGAUGACGGCCCUAUGGGUUGUAAACUGCUUUUAUAAGGGAAUAAAGUGAGUCUCGUGAGACUUUUUGCAUGUACCUUAUGAAUAAGGACCGGCUAAUUCCGUGCCAGCAGCCGCGGUAAUACGGAAGGUCCGGGCGUUAUCCGGAUUUAUUGGGUUUAAAGGGAGCGUAGGCCGGAGAUUAAGCGUGUUGUGAAAUGUAGACGCUCAACGUCUGCACUGCAGCGCGAACUGGUUUCCUUGAGUACGCACAAAGUGGGCGGAAUUCGUGGUGUAGCGGUGAAAUGCUUAGAUAUCACGAAGAACUCCGAUUGCGAAGGCAGCUCACUGGAGCGCAACUGACGCUGAAGCUCGAAAGUGCGGGUAUCGAACAGGAUUAGAUACCCUGGUAGUCCGCACGGUAAACGAUGGAUGCCCGCUGUUGGUCUGAAUAGGUCAGCGGCCAAGCGAAAGCAUUAAGCAUCCCACCUGGGGAGUACGCCGGCAACGGUGAA
Molecule: ribosomal RNA, 876 nt
Filed under: uncultured bacterium
Lineage: Bacteria
Description: bacterial SSU rRNA
Rfam family: Bacterial small subunit ribosomal RNA
Source: RNAcentral